Molecule: ribosomal RNA, 492 nt
Filed under: uncultured bacterium
Lineage: Bacteria
Description: partial 16S ribosomal RNA
Rfam family: Bacterial small subunit ribosomal RNA
Source: RNAcentral
AGUGAACGCUGGCGGUAGGCCUAACACAUGCAAGUCGAACGGCAGCACAGUAAGAGCUUGCUCUUACGGGUGGCGAGUGGCGGACGGGUGAGGAAUACAUCGGAAUCUACUUUUUCGUGGGGGAUAACGUAGGGAAACUUACGCUAAUACCGCAUACGACCUACGGGUGAAAGCAGGGGAUCUUCGGACCUUGCGGGAUUGAAUGAGCCGAUGUCGGAUUAGCUAGUUGGCGGGGUAAAGGCCCACCAAGGCGACGAUCCGUAGCUGGUCUGAGAGGAUGAUCAGCCACACUGGAACUGAGACACGGUCCAGACUCCUACGGGAGGCAGCAGUGGGGAAUAGUAGACAAUGGGCGCAAGCCUGAUCCAGCGAUACCGCGUGGGUGAAGAAGGCCUUCGGGUUGUAAAGCCCUUUUGUUGGGAAAGAAAAGCAGCAGGUUAAUACCCCGCUGUUCUGACGGUACCCAAAGAAUAAGCACCGGCUAACUUCGUG